Aricia agestis (brown argus) is the source of this 318-nucleotide long non-coding RNA. RefSeq lists it as uncharacterized. The transcript is spliced from 3 exons. The record is from RefSeq and is a predicted model, not a curated record. NCBI's taxonomy places the organism in Eukaryota, Metazoa, Arthropoda, Insecta, Lepidoptera, Lycaenidae.
AAAAUCGUCUCAUAAAUAACAAUUCUUGUAUAUAUGUUAUAGUCAAAGUCCGAUACACAGUCUCUUCGCGGAAGGACUGGUUUAUCCUAGGUUUGGCCAAAGCCGUCAGGCGAUCCCCGAAAUACAUUUCAAUUUCGCCCUUUGCCUGAAGUAUUUUUAGUCAAACCCAGGAGCUCCUAACUUUUCAGUCAAACGUCGAAAGUAAAUUAUUCUGUUUCGGUUUUGGCCUAGUCAAUCCUAGAAGCGACUGCAAAACUCGGUCAAACGUUGAUCUGAACAUGUUUAAACAGGUUCAUAAUGUCUCUCGCGGUGUUCCGA